Molecule: ribosomal RNA, 428 nt
Filed under: uncultured prokaryote
Description: bacterial SSU rRNA
Rfam family: Bacterial small subunit ribosomal RNA
Source: RNAcentral
UGAGGAAUCUUGCGCAAUGGGGGAAACCCUGACGCAGCAACGCCGCGUGAGUGAGGAAGGUCUUCGGAUCGUAAAGCUCUGUCAGUUGGGAAGAAAUGCCUGAGGGUUAAUACCCUUCAGAUUUGACGGUACCAACAGAGGAAGCACCGGCUAACUCCGUGCCAGCAGCCGCGGUAAUACGGGGGGUGCAAGCGUUGUUCGGAAUUAUUGGGCGUAAAGAGCGUGUAGGCGGCCGGAUGUGUCAGAUGUGAAAGCCCUGGGCUUAACCCAGGAAGUGCAUUUGAAACUAUCCGGCUUGAGUAGGGGAGAGGGAAGUGGAAUUCCUGGUGUAGAGGUGAAAUUCGUAGAUAUCAGGAGGAACACCGGUGGCGAAGGCGACUUCCUGGCCCUAUACUGACGCUGAGACGCGAGAGCGUGGGUAGCAAACA